Molecule: long non-coding RNA, 739 nt
Organism: Branchiostoma floridae (Florida lancelet)
Lineage: Eukaryota; Metazoa; Chordata; Leptocardii; Amphioxiformes; Branchiostomatidae
Exons: 5
Source: RefSeq, a predicted model, not a curated record
UAAGAGCGUGACCUAUGACCUUUCUGUUUCGCGCCAAGGCUGCUCAGCGGUAUCACAGAAAGCUGUCGCGAUAGAUAAAGUUCUUCAAGGAUUUGUUCGGCCGAGCUUCGUUACUAUGUUACGAACCAAGUCACAGUUACUAUCUUACGGUCGUAAACUGGCUUUGAGACUUCACAGUUGGAAAUUAACACCAGGCGUGGUGACAGCAUGUGGCAGGCUGACAGAACCGCAUAUGGACGCCCCUCGCUGCUCUGAGUGCUAAAACGCCACCAGAUGCGAUCAGAAAUACAGCUGGACUCUCCCAUGUCUCCAAGCAGAUGCUGGGAUGGAAGACACAGUUAUUUUCUGACUUCCUGUUCAGUCUUCAGACAGCUACCCACUGUGGUCUACAGUCUUAUGUUCCUGUCCUGAUCCAAUACAGAUGGAGCUUCGGGAAAGUGACUGUCAGUUCCCCAAUUAACAGAAACUGCCAUGGAUGAUGGACAAAAACCCUGGAAUAUUCUGAAGAUGGAGCACAUGCCUCUCCUGGAAAAGGGACUGCCAGCUCCAUACCAAUGGAAACUUUCCAAUGAAGCAGCUGUGGACUAAUGACACAAGGCCCAGGAAAGUUCGGCAAAGGACAGUUCUUCCCAUUCCCAAUGCUUGUUUCAAUGUUUUUUUUUGUGUGUGUGUGUGUGCUUGUGUCAAUGCGAUGUGCAUGUAUGACUGCGUGUGUGUGUGUGCUUGUGUCAAUGCGCGU